UACGUAGGGGGCAAGCGUUGUCCGGAUUUAUUGGGCGUAAAGAGCGUGUAGGCGGUCAGGUAGGUCGGUUGUGAAAACUGGAGGCUCAACCUUCAGAGGUCGACCGAAACCCCCUGGCUAGAGGCCGGGAGAGGAGAGUGGAAUUCCUGGUGUAGCGGUGAAAUGCGCAGAUAUCAGGAAGAACACCCGUGGCGAAAGCGGCUCUCUGGAACGGUACUGACGCUGAGACGCGAAAGCGUGGGGAGCGAACAGG
Molecule: ribosomal RNA, 253 nt
Filed under: uncultured bacterium
Lineage: Bacteria
Description: partial 16S ribosomal RNA
Rfam family: Bacterial small subunit ribosomal RNA
Source: RNAcentral